Molecule: unclassified non-coding RNA, 353 nt
Filed under: soil metagenome
Description: partial contains 5.8S ribosomal RNA, internal transcribed spacer 2, and large subunit ribosomal RNA
Rfam family: 5.8S ribosomal RNA (bases 1-120)
Source: RNAcentral
GAUGAAGAACGUAGCGAAAUGCGAUAAGUAAUGUGAAUUGCAGAAUUCCGUGAAUCAUCGAAUCUUUGAACGCACAUUGCGCCCCCUGGCAUUCCGGGGGGCAUGCCUGUCCGAGCGUCAUUUCUGCCCUCCAGCCCGGCUGGGUGUUGGGCGCUGUCCCCCCGGGGACACGCCCCAAAGGCAGUGGCGGCGCCGCGUCGGGUCCUCGAGCGUAUGGGGCUUUGUCACCCGCUCGGGACGGACUCGUCGGCGCUGGUCUUCCUCCAGGCGACCCUUCGGGGCUCGUCUUCCUUCGGUUGACCUCGGAUCAGGUAGGGUUACCCGCUGAACUUAAGCAUAUCAUAAGCGGAGGA